ACUUGGAUAACCGUAGUAAUUCUAGAGCUAAUACAUGCAUCAAACCCCGACUGCUGGAAGGGGUGUACUUAUUUAAUGGAAACCCAUGCCGGGCAACCCCGAUCAUGGUGAUUCUUAAUAAUUUUCUGAUCAAUCGCAAGAUCGAUGCAUCAUUCAAGUUUCUGCCCUAUCAUCUUUUGAUGGUAGGGUAUUGGCCUACCAUGGCAUUAACGGGUAACGGAGAAUUAUGGUUCGAUUCCGGAGAGGGAGCCUGAUAAAUGGCUACCACAUCUAAGGAAGGCAGCAGGCGCGUAAAUUACCCAAUCCUGACACAGGGAGGUAGUGACAAUAAAUAACAAUGCCGGGCCUUCGGGUCUGGCAAUUGUAAUGAGAACAAUUUAAAUCCCUUAUCGAGGAUCAAUU
RNAcentral lists this ribosomal RNA (402 nucleotides) under uncultured picoeukaryote. RNAcentral's name for it is "SSU rRNA". It matches the Rfam family "Eukaryotic small subunit ribosomal RNA", at positions 137 to 549 of the family's 1831-position model. The record is from RNAcentral.